GACGAACGCUGGCGGCGUGCUUAACACAUGCAAGUCGAACGGAAAGGCCCUGCUUUUGUGGGGUGCUCGAGUGGCGAACGGGUGAGUAACACGUGAGUAACCUGCCCUUGACUUUGGGAUAACUUCAGGAAACUGGGGCUAAUACCGGAUAGGAGCUCCUGCUGCAUGGUGGGGGUUGGAAAGUUUCGGCGGUGGGGGAUGGACUCGCGGCUUAUCAGCUUGUUGGUGGGGUAGUGGCUUACCAAGGCUUUGACGGGUAGCCGGCCUGAGAGGGUGACCGGCCACAUUGGGACUGGGAUACGGCCCAGACUCCUCCGGGAGGCAGCAGUGGGGAAUAUUGCACAAUGGGCGGAAGCCUGAUGCAGCAACGCCGCGUGCGGGAUGACGGCCUUCGGGUUGUAAACCGCUUUCGCCUGUGACGAAGCGUGAGUGACGGUAAUGGGUAAAGAAGCACCGGCUAACUACGUG
RNAcentral lists this ribosomal RNA (468 nucleotides) under uncultured bacterium. RNAcentral's name for it is "partial 16S ribosomal RNA". It matches the Rfam family "Bacterial small subunit ribosomal RNA", at positions 28 to 507 of the family's 1533-position model. The record is from RNAcentral.